Molecule: long non-coding RNA, 3720 nt
Filed under: Musa acuminata (dwarf banana)
Lineage: Eukaryota; Viridiplantae; Streptophyta; Magnoliopsida; Zingiberales; Musaceae
Description: long non-coding RNA (MACU_LNC005041)
Source: RNAcentral
UUUUGGUGCAGUAAUAUAUGUUUAAGAAACACCACUUUUAUUACUGCAGGUGUGAAGAUGAUGCGACUUUACAACUCGGGAGUAAAAGACGACGCGACAGCUCACGUCACCAUAAGUGCAUGCAUGUGGAUCACGCCAAGCAGAAGAAGACAGGCUUAAAGCAGUUCCUCCAUCACAGUGCCAUAUCGUCGCCGGAGGGCAACUCGAUCACUGUGCUGGAAACGGCGUCGUCUUCACGGCCGUGCAGUGGGUACGACACAGGGGGGAACUUGACCGUGUCGCUGCAGUUACUCUCCCUGCCGUUGGGGCAGCUGAUGAUCGAUCUCCCGUCGCUGGAGACGCAGACGCGGAUCUGGGAGAGGUAGUCGUUGUAGAUUAAAGGCCAGAGAAUGUAAUUCCUGGUGCACACCACCGUGAACGAGAACCCGAUCCUGGGCACCAACGCGUCGUUGAUGUCCUCCAGGCUGUAGCUCUUCGUCUCCGACGGGAUGAUGGCUUGAGAUCAGGAACAGAUCCAUGCGUUAGCUGCAGACACUUGUAAGCUCGAGGUCGGCAUGCAGGGCAGGGCUGCUUACCUUUGGAGCCGAGGGCAUGGAGGACGUCGGCUCGAGCCCGGAGCUGAAGCGCCCGGCCGAAGUAAUUCACCUCGCUAAGGCUGGUGCAGUUGCCGUAGGUACACCAGGCGGCCUUCCACACCUGCUUCCCGUUCUGGGCUGGGCAGCUCAAGCUGGGCCAGUAGGCGUUCAAGUCGUUCAUCAGAUCGUUAAGCUGUGGCAUGCGCAGAGUGAUCAGUGUGGGUCGGGAGCAGCGGAGAUCAUCGACUGCAUAGAUCCAAUCAGGCCUAUUACCGGGUUCAACAAGAAGCGGCAGCUGGGUUCGCAGUUGGCGACGAGCUUGCCGGUGGCGCUGUCGUAGGUCUCCAUGGUCUCCACCAGGAAGUCUGGCUCGGGGUUUUCGAUGAGCGGGUCAACGCAGCAGGUCGGCUGCCAGAACCACCCUGGCUGGCAGCGAGUCCCCGGCCACUGCAGGAGUCACGAUCCGUUAGACUUCAUUAACAGUUUACCGUACAAGAAAGGCUUUCUGUAAAGCCGAGAGAGAGAGAGAGAGAGAGGAAUAGGUACUAUGAGAGACAGGAUCAUGUAGUCGUAUGAAGCAGCUGCUAGCGCACAAGAGGCGGCGCACAAGAGGAAGCAGAACGUGGGAAGAGCCUUUGAGCCAGCCAUUCUGCAGAGGUGGAGAGGAUGAUCGGGGGAGAGACGCUUCGUGAGGUGAUGAGUCUGAUGGCUCUAUAUAAGCACUACAUUGAAGACACACCCACCUACUGAUAAUUGUUGGACUAAUAAUGCACCGCGAUUGCUGUUAGGGGGGUCUUAAAAUAAUGCACUUCGCAUAAAAUGUCGUACACCAACAUGAAACAUGAGGGACAUUCCCGCAUAUCGCAAGCAUAGUGGGUUGCAAAAUGCAAGGAAAGAAAGUAAGGAAUUUAUUUGAUUAUGGUCUCUCAUAGCUAUAAGAUUAUGGUCUCUCGUAGCUAUAUGGACUAUGUGACAUCGUCAAACCACGAUGUCACCUCCACCCUCCACCCCACCAGCCACUGGACCCUUUCCAUACAUUACAAUCAUUAAUCUUGAUGGAGGUGAACGAGAGAUAAUCAUAAGUAUUUUUCCUCUCUUCUCUUUUGUAUGACUCAUCGUAUUAGAUAUUAUCGUACGCUUCACGCACAUAUUGUUUUACUCACCUGAUCGAGCAACGAUAAUAGUGUGAUAGAAGCGAGCAAGGGAUACUCCUUCGACUAAGGGGCUUGAAAUCUAAGAGAUAGAAAAGGGAUUGAGGAUAAAGACACGAGCAAGAGAUAAUAUAAUUUUAUGACGAAUAAGAGUUAAAGAGUAAGAUGAGAAUGACUAUAUGAUGCGAAUAAAACAAAAAAGUGACAUUAGUAGAAUAAAAAGUAAAAAANNNNNNNNNNNNNNNNNNNNNNNNNNNNNNNNNNNNNNNNNNNNNNNNNNNNNNNNNNNNNNNNNNNNNNNNNNNNNNNNNNNNNNNNNNNNNNNNNNNNCGUGUUAUUAUCUAUCGGCAAACAAUUGACUUGAUAAUUGAUAAGGCAUAUAUUUAGGAUCUCGGCCACGUCGCGAUCCACGCCACGUCACACUCCUGCAGAUUCAACACAAGGGUUGCCUUCCUUCCACGUCGAGUUGGAGCUCGUAUAGGGAGGCACCCUCUCAACAAGUCCCUUCCCAGAAAGCUUGGGACGUUGUCCCAUGGCGUCGUUCCGCGCAUACCGGGUGACGAUUACACGAAGGUACGAUCUUGGGGGUAUCGAUCGUCAAGUCAAAUCCGCGUAUAAUCGAUCCUCGGACAAUAGUAUAAAAUCCCUUGACCGGCAUCUGGCUAGGAGACAAAGAACAGAAGAAAAAAAUCACUGACUUAGUCUACGAUGGGCCAAAGUCGGGAAUCUCCAGACCAGGGCGUGUGUGCAGGAACGUGGCCACCCCCGAACUAGCUCAAUCCCUCAUUGGAGAUGCGACCAUCCUGGCCGUUGAUCCAGACGCGACCAUCCCGACCCCUGAUCCAACUCGGCCUCGAUGCUUCUUCCAAUCGAUCGAGAGGCGCACUCCCGAACGUCGAAAACUCUGGACAUCGACAUGUGAACCAAAACGUGCCGACUCCUCGACCACGGCACGUAAGUUCACCAACAAAAAUAACGACGCAUUGUUGAAACAUUGAUUAUAAUCAAAGAAGAACGUUCUCAAAAUUAUUUUAAAAAAUAUUUUAUUUCUACCUAAUUAGUCAAUUAUUUAAAAUUUUUUUGAUGAUCAAUUCAUUUUCACUAACUCAGUAAAAUAUAAUAUUUGAAGAAAAUUAUACUGAAGAUAGAAUGUAAUAAAUGUAAUUAUAUAUAUAUAAUUAAUAUUUUUAAAAUAUAUUAAAUCGGAUAAUUUUACGGAAUAAGGUUUUGAGUCGUUCGAUGUAUGACUCUGUUAUAUCAAUAUAAGAUGAUAUUUUAGAUAUUAAAAAUAUAUACGAGACAACAUUUUGGUGCAGUUAUAUAUGUUUAAGAAAGACCACUUUUAUUACUGCAGGUGUGAAGAAGAUGCGACUCUACAACUCGGGAGUAAAAGACGAAGCGACAGCUCACAUCACCAUAAGUGCAAGCAUGUGGAUCACGCCAAGCAGAAGAAGACAGGCUUAAAGCAGUUCCUCCAUCACAGUGCCAUCUCGUCGCCGGAGGGCAACUCGAUCACUGUCUUGGAAACGGCGUCGUCUUCACGGCCUUGCAGUGGGUACGACACAGGGGGGAACUUGACCGUGUCGCCGCAGUUACUCUCCCUGCCGUUGGGGCAGCCGAUGAUCGACCUCCCGUCGCUGGAGACGCAGACGCGGAUCUGGUAGAGGUAGUCUUCGUAGAAGAAAGGCCAGAGAAUGUAAUUCCUGGUGCACACCACCGUGAACGAGAACCCGAUCCUGGGCACCAACGCGUCGUUGAUGUCGUCCAGGCUGUAGCUCUUCGUCGCGUGCGGUAUGAUCCCACUCGAGCCCAGGUUGACGAGGGGGUCCACCUUCUUCCUGAGUUGAAGCGCCCGGUCGAAGUAGAGCGACUGGUUGAGGCUGGAGCAAGUGCCGUAGGUGCACCACACGUCCUUCCAGUGGGGCAUCCCGCUGUUGCUGGGACAGGUCAGGUUGGCGUAGUACGUGUACAAGUUGUCGAGCAUGUUCACCAGC